UUAUUCCUGGACCUCCUAUUUAUAGGUAAAUUUUUUAUAUUUUUUUGAUAGAAAAAGGAGUCCUAAAACUCUUAGAAAAUGUAUUAAAUACUUAAAAAUUUUUCUGACCAUCGGAUCGUCUUUGGACCACCCAGAUCAGCCAAAAAAAUAGUUUCUUUCUCCUUAUUACAUUUGGAUACUAUUCUGGCUGUCUGAUCGUGCUUCAGAUGAGAUUUAGGCCAUCAGAUCGUGCCUCUGAUCUCCUAUUCAAACUUGGGAAUGAUGCUGGCCGUCUGAUCGUACGAUGGAUUGAGUUUUGACCAUCGGAUUAUGCCCAGGAGUCCUUUUAACCGACAACAAAUGUGAACCGUCGGAUCUGGAUCAGGAUGAACAUGGGCCGUUGGAUCAUGCAAAGAGACUUCUGCCUGCCA
Molecule: long non-coding RNA, 410 nt
Filed under: Elaeis guineensis (African oil palm)
Lineage: Eukaryota; Viridiplantae; Streptophyta; Magnoliopsida; Arecales; Arecaceae
Description: long non-coding RNA (EGUI_LNC029708)
Source: RNAcentral